This is a long non-coding RNA of Neodiprion fabricii, 1588 nucleotides long. RefSeq lists it as uncharacterized. Lineage: Eukaryota; Metazoa; Arthropoda; Insecta; Hymenoptera; Diprionidae. The record is from RefSeq and is a predicted model, not a curated record. The transcript is spliced from 4 exons.
UUUCGCUCGAGCGCUUACGGAAGAAGGUUUGGUCCGAAAUAGUCGCAUACCGAUAUCGAGCCUAGUGUGAAAUCUAUCGGUUUUCCCGGGGAUAAAGGAGUCAAAGGAGGUUGGCGAGUGCAGCUCCCCGGGGUUUGUGCUACCCGGUAUCGAGGCGAGCAUUGUUGCGGGGCAACAAUGUCGUUCAAUCUUGGAAGUUAUGCUAGAAGAGACCGAAGGCAGAAAGAAUCCAACCCGUACAUGACGCAACCAUUCGAUCCGACAAACCUAAAAUCCCACCGCUGUCACCAAUUUUGCCAUGAACAAGAUUGACUGUUUUCCAGUUGAUUUCCGGCUGGAAUCUAACUUUAAAAUCAGUUUAUCAUCGCUGCAACUUUGGAAAACGAUAUCGGAUGAAAUCGAGAUUUCCGGUGAAUGAAGCUUACCUUACUUCAUUCACAAGUGAAUUAGCAACGAAAUCGACAAGCAUCGACCUUCUUCACGGCCCCCAGAGAAGGAGCCCGGUCGCCUCUGUCAAGUGGAGGAGAAUUUCGAUUGGCAAACUAACCCUUGUCUGCAAGGACGAUACUACUUCUAAAAAGUCGCCAAAAAUUGAGCACCGCUUGAAAGCGAAGGAUGUGAAGUGGGGGUAAAGGUGGUAGAAGCAAAGGUAAGUCCUCGGAGCAGCGGGCAACAUUCAAGUGCGAAGGUACAAAGCUUGAACCACACAGUUGAACUUUUUCUGAUCCCAAAAAGGACGAGGAUGCUUUAGGGAGACUUGAACCCUCGGGUGAAUCACGAGUACGUGCGCAUCGUGCAAACCUAUAAUAAAUUUCGCUAGUGAUGUUAUAGUUUAAUCCGCGAAACCCCCGCGGUCAAGUGGACAAUAAAUUUAUUUCGAAGGGUCGGACCUAACGCGCGAGGCACUGUCAAACUACGUGAUAACCCCGACCCAUGGAACAAUGGCUACGUAACCUUAUGAAUUAUUCAAAUCGCAAUGGAUUAUUAUGUGGAACUAUGUCCUUGGUAUUCGUUUUGCCAUUUACCAUUUCUCGGGCUCUGUUACAAUCGAUCGAGCUGUAAGCCCAACCGCCCUACCUAGGAGUCCAGGAAUCUAGGUAGCCCUGCAGGAGUUGGGAAUAUUUCGGUUCAGCGUUUCAUCUCAAAUCGUGUUUUUAAAAUUUAUAAACAAUUCUCGGGAUUGAAACUUUUCGAAGUGAAACGGGAGAAAUUUUUUAAACAAAAGCAAAAACAUUGGUAGCGUAGCUAAACAAAGUCGAAGAGAUUCGGAAAUGAUAAACAUUCAAUUUUCAUUUACUGGCAAGUACCAAUUAAUAUAGGAAUUUCACAAAAUGAUUGUUAAAUAUUUAUGCAAGUUACCCUUCCAUGGAAUUGGAAUUUCAAAACUAGGGGAACACGCAAUAAUUUUUUGAAGCAAAGAUCUGUUAUUUUUAUUCUUGGUGUGAAUAGAUAGAUGUGCAGUAAUAUAGAUAGAUAUAAGUAGGUAUAGGCAGACAAAGCUGAGAACUGUCUUGACCAACGGAAAAAAAAAAUUACUGGAGAAGAUACCAAGUUUCGGACAGUACUAUGAAUUUUUUAAAUUUUGUCU